RNAcentral lists this transfer RNA (73 nucleotides) under Gloeobacter violaceus SpSt-379. RNAcentral's name for it is "tRNA-Glu". It matches the Rfam family "tRNA". From Rfam's summary of the family: Transfer RNA (tRNA) molecules are approximately 80 nucleotides in length. Their secondary structure includes four short double-helical elements and three loops (D, anti-codon, and T loops). Lineage: Bacteria; Bacillati; Cyanobacteriota; Cyanophyceae; Gloeobacterales; Gloeobacteraceae. The record is from RNAcentral.
GGCCUUAUAGUGCAGUGGUCAAGCACAUCUGGUUCUCAGCCAGAAGACUCGGGUUCGAAUCCCGAUAAGGCUA